Molecule: ribosomal RNA, 253 nt
Filed under: uncultured bacterium
Lineage: Bacteria
Description: partial 16S ribosomal RNA
Rfam family: Bacterial small subunit ribosomal RNA
Source: RNAcentral
GACAGAGGCCACAAGCGUUGGGCGGAAUCACUGGGCUUAAAGCGUGUGUAGGCGGAUCGUUAAGUGCCUUGUGAAAUCCCACAGCUUAACUGUGGAACUGCUUGGCAUACUGGCGGUCUUGAGCCAUCUAGGGGUUGCUGGAACAAACGGUGGAGCGGUGAAAUGCGUAGAUAUCGUUUGGAACGCCAAUGGUGAAAACAGGCAACUGGGGAUGUGCUGACGCUGAGACACGAAAGCCAGGGGAGCAAACGGG